GACGAACGCUGGCGGCGUGCUUAACACAUGCAAGUCGAACGGAAAGGCCCUGCUUUUGUGGGGUGCUCGAGUGGCGAACGGGUGAGUAACACGUGAGUAACCUGCCCUUGACUUUGGGAUAACUUCAGGAAACUGGGGCUCAUACCGGAUAGGAGCUCCUGCUGCAUGGUGGAGGUUGGAAAGUUUCGGCGGUUGGGGAUGGACUCGCGGCUUAUCGGCUUGUUGGUGGGGUAGUGGCUUACCAAGGCUUUGACGGGUAGCCGGCCUGAGAGGGUGACCGGCAACAUUGGGACGGAGAUACGGCCCAGACUCCUACGGGAGGCAGCAGUGGGGAAUAUGGCACAAUGGGGGGAAGCCUGAUGCAGCAACGCCGCGUGCGGGAUGACGGCUUUCGGGUGGUAAACCGCUUUCGCAGGUGACGAAGCGGUAGUGACGGUAAUGGGUAAAGAAGCACCGGCUAACUACGUG
RNAcentral lists this ribosomal RNA (468 nucleotides) under uncultured bacterium. Its description in RNAcentral is "partial 16S ribosomal RNA". It matches the Rfam family "Bacterial small subunit ribosomal RNA", at positions 28 to 507 of the family's 1533-position model. The record is from RNAcentral.